Etheostoma spectabile (orangethroat darter) is the source of this 106-nucleotide long non-coding RNA. RefSeq lists it as uncharacterized. The record is from RefSeq and is a predicted model, not a curated record. Lineage: Eukaryota; Metazoa; Chordata; Actinopteri; Perciformes; Percidae. The transcript has 3 exons.
GACUUCUCCAGGCGGAGACCUGAAGCGUCCUCGUCCUCAGAGCAGGACAGAGGACAGCAGCAGGACUCUCUGUAUGCACAUGUCAAAGUUUCCAGAACAGCAAAGA